RNAcentral lists this ribosomal RNA (446 nucleotides) under uncultured bacterium. RNAcentral's name for it is "partial 16S ribosomal RNA". It matches the Rfam family "Bacterial small subunit ribosomal RNA", at positions 330 to 792 of the family's 1533-position model. The record is from RNAcentral.
UCCAGACUCCUACGGGAGGCAGCAGUGGGGGAUAUUGCACAAUGGGGGGAACCCUGAUGCAGCGACGCCGCGUGGGUGAAGGAGCGUUUCGGCGCGUAAAGCCCUAUCGGCAGGGAAGAGGGAGGACGGUACCUGACUAAGAAGCCCCGGCUAACUACGUGCCAGCAGCCGCGGUAAUACGUAGGGGGCAAGCGUUAUCCGGAUUUACUGGGUGUAAAGGGGGCGCAGACGGCAGCGCAAGCCAGGAGUGAAAGCCCGGGGCCCAACCCCGGGACUGCUCUUGGAACUGCGCGGCUGGAGUGCAGGAGGGGCAGGCGGAAUUCCUGGUGUAGCGGUGAAAUGCGUAGAUAUCAGGAGGAACACCGGUGGCGAAGGCGGCCUGCUGGACUGCGACUGACGUUGAGGCCCGAAAGCGUGGGGAGCAAACAGGAUUAGAUACCCUGGUA